Equus caballus (horse) is the source of this 2880-nucleotide long non-coding RNA. NCBI's taxonomy places the organism in Eukaryota, Metazoa, Chordata, Mammalia, Perissodactyla, Equidae. The record is from Ensembl.
CAGCCCUCUGUGGCUCCCUCUGAGCCCACUGUGGGAUGCACCUCGCUCCUGAGAAGGCGCUGAGCUGAGAGGAAGCCGCUGUGCUUUCUGAGCCUUGGCACAUCCUCACUUCCCGGUCCUGUUGCAUUUCCAGCCUCUGGACAAUCAUGUCACACCUCUGCUCUCCUGCCUGUCAUUAAGGCUCAUCUUUAGGAAACAUUUCUUGUCAGUUAGUCUUGCCAGAAUUCAAGAAGGUUAAGGGAGAAUAAAGGAUGGUCCAAAAAAGAACAAGGAAAAUGAAAAUUUGAAAAAGGGAGCCAUUCCUGAGAGGUUAUUUCACCUGCAGCAGAGUGACCGAGGAAGGAGUGCCUAGCUACCUUUAUGCCUGUGGAGGGAAGAGGUGCCUGGGCUGAUUUUUUUCCACCUUGGCAGAAGUGACUGGAGGCGGAGGAACAGGGAUCUUCAAUACGUACUCCCAUUCUGGGGCUGCUUCUGCUCUAAAAACAGAGCCAAGCAGUUCAGGAAAUCUGCCGAGAAGGCCACCAAGCAAAAUCCUAAGAGCAGCUGGUCUGGAGCCAGGCAGGUUGUGCUACAGUUGCAUGUCACUGUUGACUUCAGAAGAUGCUGCUGCUCUAGGAAGCAUAGAAGAGGUGAAUGCUAGUACCUCCAGUGCACUGCGACGUGUUCACCAUCUUCUCUGACCUGUCCCUGCCCUUUAAUAAGAAUUCUCGAGUUGAUUGAGCUUUCAUACUUUGGACAGUAUCAGCCUGGUGAGACGGCUUGGUGGAUUUCCCAGCUUGCACCUCUCCAAAGAGAAGAUGUCAUUUGCUAUCUCAGUCUCCAGAUGUCCAAAACUUACUUUUGUUGGUCACUAAGAGCAAAAUUGUCAAACAGGUGACAGUUUUGUUGUUUGGAGGAAAUCAUGUCCACUAGACCCAGUGAGCUGUGGUACAACUCCAGUUAAUAUUUGACUAUUGGCUUCCUGUUACACAGAAAACUAAUAGUGAAGAAUAAACCACAAUAGGAUGUGUUCUCUGUUCAUCCCAACUGGAGAAAGUGGGGAGAAUCCUUUGAUGAUAUUUGAACUCUCUUGUCUACUUUCCAAAGUGGUUGAAGGAAGUUCCAGUGACCAAGUCUUCCAAAGAUUCUGCCUCAUUUCAUGGCUUCUUGAGCAGAUAUCCGGCUGCCCGUCUUAGAGGUGAUCCACAUUUGUAGGUGAAGUAGAAGAGAGAAGAUGAAAAGAAAAUUGAAAAGAAAAUAGAGCUUUGGUGUGUGGUGUCAACAUGUGUCAAAAUGACAUAACUCCCCACGGAGAGAAAAGAAACUUCUAGUCCCAAGGACAAAACCCACCUGUUUUACUUAAUCCUCAAUUCCCCGUCUCACCACGUUCCCCCUCCAACCCUUGACAGAUUGAAGGAUCUUGUUGGCUCCGAUUGAUUCCCUGAACACCUGUGUCCACCAGACUGUCCUUUAUGGAUAUUUCCUGAUCUCUUGGCUUCGGCUGGCUUGUGUCUCCAUGGUAACAGGGAGUGGGGAGGGGGACGUGGGGGCAGCUCAGUCCAUUUGUCAUCAAUUGCCACUGUUUUGUUCUGCUUGGUGUGUGCUCUCAAUUGAGUCCUGGAGGAGGCAAAGCAGAACAGAGAGAUUCGGCUGAAGGACUGCUCCCGCCCUCUGAAACCGGGGGUGGGGGGAUGUAGCCGAGGGGACUGUCUUCAGAGAGGGAGAGAGCCCGGGUAUAGAGAUUAUAACCAAAUGCCAACCUUCUCUGGGAGAAUAAUUUUUCUGUGACUCAGAUUUUAUGUUUUAGGAGGGAGGAUGGCAUUCGUGUCCAUCCAAAGACCUUUAUUAUUUUGUUAAAGUAAGAGGAAGGAAAUUUUGCAACCUCCCCAUAAUAUAGAAUAAGAUGUCGUCUUUCUUAUUCUGGGUUGGAAUUUUUACUUAAAAAAAAAGUGAUUGGACUCCCACCGUGUCACUGCCUUAAACAGACCACGAGUUGUGCAUCUUGUUUCAUUUUGUGCCUUCUCUGUGUGCUGUGCAUUCAUUUAGAUGAUUCACAAAAGCCUGUCCCCUGUGCCUCCCCCGAUCAGGAUUAAAGAGCUCAAGCCCUGCCAGUUGGGUGGAAGCAUUGCUGGUUGGACCCAGCCUAUGAAUGCCCUUCUUCCCACUGAUCUGGGCCCGAGGAACUCUUUGUUUUGUUCCACUCCGAUCUUUGCCCUUAGCAGAGGCUCAGACCCAGUUCCUCCCAGACUCGUGAUGACUUGGAUGAUGUCCUCUCUCUCAUUCCAUGAGGAACUCACCAGUGUGAUCAAAUUCAAUGGCCCCUUCUCCAUCUGUUUACUAUUUGGCCUCUCUGCAUCAUUUACAACAUGUUAUCACUCCUCCUCUGCAACUUCUCUUCUUGGGCUCCCGUCACACAGAAUGCUCUGUGUUCUUUCUUCCUCUCUCUUGGUGCUUCUUGAUCAUCCUUCUUGGGUCUUUUGUUUCCUUCCACAAUUUCAAAGUUGGUAUUGUCCAAGGCUCUGUUCUUGGCCUGCUUUUCAUACUCCUCCUCACUCCUUGCAAUGUCAUCCACACCUAUAGCCUUAACCAUGAACUCUGAGGCUGACUCUCAAACCUGCCUCUAAACCAGGUCGCGCUUCUGAGCAACUCUGCAUGGAAAUGUACAAACUAUUCAAAACGAAUUUGACUUUCUCUUCAACUUGCCCUCCAUUUUCUCUGGUAUUGUUAGCAUCUGCGUUCUCCCAGUUGCUCAGACUUAAAAGCUUUGUAUCAUCUUUGAUUAUGCCUACAUAUGCCACAACUCUCAUCAGUCUUAUUUUCCUCCUCUGCCACUUUCUCCUCCUCCUUCUUCUCUGCGUGCCCCCCCCCCCCCCCCCCCCCCCCCCCCCCCCCCCCCCCCCC